GUAGUCUGCAACUCGACUACAUGAAGCUGGAAUCGCUAGUAAUCGCGGAUCAGAAUGCCGCGGUGAAUACGUUCCCGGGUCUUGUACACACCGCCCGUCACACCAUGGGAGUCGAUAACGCCCGAAGUCAGUGACCCAACCUUAUAGGAGGGAGCUGCCGAAGGCGGGAUUGAUAACUGGGGUGAAGUCGUAACAAGGUACC
RNAcentral lists this ribosomal RNA (202 nucleotides) under uncultured bacterium. Its description in RNAcentral is "partial 16S ribosomal RNA". It matches the Rfam family "Bacterial small subunit ribosomal RNA", at positions 1300 to 1500 of the family's 1533-position model. The record is from RNAcentral.